UACAGAGGGUGCAAGCGUUGUUCGGAAUCAUUGGGCGUAAAGGGCGUGUAGGCGGUCUGUUAAGUCAUGUGUGAAAUCCCUCGGCUCAACCGGGGAACGACGCAUGAAACUGACAAGCUAGAGUACCAAAGAGGGGGGUGGAAUUCCACGUGUAGCAGUGAAAUGCGUAGAUAUGUGGAGGAACACCGAUGGCGAAGGCAGCCCCCUGGGUCAAGACUGACGCUCAUGCACGAAAGCGUGGGGAGCAAACAGG
RNAcentral lists this ribosomal RNA (253 nucleotides) under uncultured bacterium. RNAcentral's name for it is "partial 16S ribosomal RNA". It matches the Rfam family "Bacterial small subunit ribosomal RNA", at positions 524 to 776 of the family's 1533-position model. The record is from RNAcentral.